AGAAGUAAAAGUCGUAACAAGGUUUCCGUAGGUGAACCUGCGGGAGGAUCAUUACUGAAGUGGGUCUUCAAUCAUUGAAGCUUCUUCCCAUUGUGCUGGCUUUGACCGUAUGUAAUGUUGGGGAUUAAACAUGGUUGAGAGAAAUCUUGGCCGUCCCCAACAAAUUAUCUUAUCCUUUAUUAAAUUGAACUGAACUCAUUUUGAGACUACAUAAAAAAAAAUAAUCUUUUAAUACAACUUUCAACAACGGAUCUCUUGGUUCUC
This 264-nucleotide unclassified non-coding RNA is filed under the name plant metagenome. Its description in RNAcentral is "partial contains small subunit ribosomal RNA, internal transcribed spacer 1, and 5.8S ribosomal RNA". The stretch from base 1 to 54 matches the Rfam family "Eukaryotic small subunit ribosomal RNA", at positions 1778 to 1831 of the family's 1831-position model. The record is from RNAcentral.